This 232-nucleotide long non-coding RNA is filed under the name Setaria italica (foxtail millet). RNAcentral's name for it is "long non-coding RNA (SITA_LNC005763)". The record is from RNAcentral. Lineage: Eukaryota; Viridiplantae; Streptophyta; Magnoliopsida; Poales; Poaceae.
GGCUUUGCUAGUUCUCAUCCUCGAGGGCUGGGUUCCUAAUUCUAGUCAGCGUGCCUCCAUGGCCCCACCAGUCCUUGUCCUCAGGGGUUGGGCGCCUAAUUCUAGUCGGCAUGCCUCCGCGGCUCCACCAGUCCUCGUCCUUAGGGGUUGGGCGGCUAAUUCUAGUCGGCAUGCCUCCGUGGCCCCUCCAGUCCUCAUCCUCGGGGGCUGGGCACCUAAUUCUGCCUCCACA